CUCAAGUUUUGAAUCUGGUGUCUGAUCUCUUUAUGCAUCUAGAGAAAUGGAGAAAUAUGCUUUGCAAUUUGGCAGCAUCAAAUAUUGCUUACAGCCUAUCAGCGGCUCCCAGUCCAAGGCUUCCUGAUUUAAGCUUUGGAUUGUGGCAGAAAUAGCUAGGCAGAAUGAUGGGGUUGGGGUUAAACCAUUCCUUACAGGUUUAACCCUUUGAGGUACGUUGGCACCCAGGGACCUCCUCACACCUUAACAACUUAAUUCUGAUGCCUGGAGUGUUUCUUUAAUUGUAAUUAAAA
This is a non-coding RNA of Pelobates cultripes (western spadefoot toad), 293 nucleotides long. The record is from the annotation of a GenBank genome assembly. Lineage: Eukaryota; Metazoa; Chordata; Amphibia; Anura; Pelobatidae.